GGGGCCAUAGCUCAGCUGGGAGAGCGCAUGACUGGCAGUCAUGAGGUCAGGAGUUCGAUCCUCCUUGGCUCCA
RNAcentral lists this transfer RNA (73 nucleotides) under bacterium. RNAcentral describes it as "tRNA-Ala". It matches the Rfam family "tRNA". From Rfam's summary of the family: Transfer RNA (tRNA) molecules are approximately 80 nucleotides in length. Their secondary structure includes four short double-helical elements and three loops (D, anti-codon, and T loops). The record is from RNAcentral. RNAcentral also lists the same sequence under 1 other name.